AUGCGCUGCUUCUCGUCCCGUCCUCUCCGUGCGGCUCGGCGCCGUGCCCGUCCCCCCGCCCUGACCCCUCUGCCUUUCAUCUCUUCCAGUAGCUUGGUUCUCCUUCGACCCUUCGUCCGCCCACGCCGACAUCAUCUUCUCCAACGACAACCUGACCGUCACCUGCAACAGCUACGACGACAGGGUGGUGCUGGGCAAGACGGGCUUCUCCAAAGGGCUCCACUACUGGGAGCUCUCCAUCGACCGCUACGACAACCACCCCGACCCAGCUUUCGGCGUGGCUCGCGUCGACGUGCUGAAGGAUGCCAUGCUGGGCAAGGACGACAAGGCCUGGGCCAUGUACGUGGACAACAACCGCAGCUGGUUCAUGCACAACAACUCGCACACCAACAGAACCGAGGGCGGCAUAACGAAAGGCGCCACGGUGGGCGUGCUGCUGGAUUUGACCAGGAGGACCCUGACCUUCUCCAUCAACGAGGACCAGCAAGGGCCCGUGGCCUUCGAGAACCUGGAGGGCCUCUUCUUCCCCGCCGUCAGCCUCAACAGGAACGUGCAGGUGACGCUGCACACCGGGCUGCCCGUCCCCGAAUUCUACGCCUCGCGCUCGGCCAUGCAGUGAGGCAGCUCCCCGGGGCCGGCUGCCUCUGCUCGGGGCCAGAGGAGCCAGCCCGCUCCCUUGUGCGGCACCAGAGGCCUCUGCUCGACGGGGGAGGCGGAAGAAAAACACAAAAAAAAACGUGAAAAACACAAAAAAAAAAAAGGGCAGGAAGAAACUGGCUUUCGGCAGUCUUCGUUCGCCACCCGCCUGCGCUGUCCUGUGUGUGUGCGCUUCGCUCCUUCGCUCUUGGCUGAUCCACUAUAGCUAGGUAGCCCGAGGUGUUGCUCCGUGUCCGCUUUUAGGUUCGGUUUUCCUCAUUUUGGUUAAGGUCCCGGGGGUGGGGGGGGAGGCAGAUUUGUCUCGUUUCAGAGGGCCGAGCUGCAGGACGGGGCCGGCCGCACGGCGGGGAGAGGGACCCCCCCCGGGAAGGCUUUCGCCCCUCCGGUCCCACGGCUUUGCAGGGUCCCGUGGCUUUGCAGGGUCCCACGGCUUUGCAGGACGUUUCUUUCCCCGUGGCCUUUCUCUCAGAGCACCUCAAACACCCCUCGAGGUGGGGCCUGGAUGUCCAGCGGGUCCUGGGAACCCCCAUGCGCCCGCCCGCCUCGCCCCCAUCUUGCUGCAGCUCCCCCCGCACGCAGCGGGACCCCCCCAGGAGCAGGGGAUUGGCGUGGAUCAUUAACACGGGGCGUUAAUUAACGCCACCGGACGCGUCCCACCGCCCCCCAAAGCAAGCACCCACCCUGUGCCCCCCCUUUCUCCCCCCCGGCUCCCCGCGGAGCGGCGCAGCCAGCACCCCACAGCCAUACGCCGCGCAGCUCCUGGGAGAGGAGCUCUUUAUUUUUUUACACUUUCCGGAUAAAAAAACCUCGCCUUAACUACCCGACAGCCUCCUUCCCUUCCCCGGAGAGCCCCUCCUGCAGCGAGGAGCCGAUGGGGGGCACGGGGACGGGGAAGAGAGGACGGGGAGCUGCCCGCAGCCCUGCCGCGCACUCAGGGACCCGUGCCCGCCGCCCGCUGCCCUCUCCUCUCCUCUCCCAACCACCCCCGUGCCCCUCGCUGGUGAUUUGGGGGGGGCAGGAGAGGAGCUGGUGGCCACCAGCCCGCUGCCAGCACGUGCCCCUCGCACCGAGGGCGACUGCAUGCGCUUGUCCCCACGCUUGGCUCCCCCGUCCUUUCCGCGGUGCCGGUUUCGCUGCCCGGCGUUCGGUGGCACAGCCACAGCCCCCGGUCCCUCGCCCCCACCCCGGGGCCGCAGGAGGCCCUGUCCGUGGGUCCUUCCCCUCCGGGACGGUGCCGUUCGUUCGUUCCCUCGUGGCUCUAGGAUCACACUGAGCUAAUUUAUUGCAGGGGUGCUAAUCUCCUCCUUUCCCCUCCGACGGCGUUUUCUCAGCUGCAGGAGAGCCGUGUUGCGGGCCAACGCCGAGCAGCUUUUUGGUUAAUUAAUUCCCCACCAGCCCCCCCAAAAACCCUCCCCGUGGCCGGGUCACGGGGCCCAUUUCUCAGCCCUUUUCCCCGUUUUUCCCCCCAACCAACCCAUUCUUUAGGAUGUUCACGGUGCUUAUUAGACUCCUCGUGGUUGUAAGACGUCGCCCCCACUGUAGCGCGGUGAUAGCUGCCUCCAGCUGCUGUACCCCCCAAAAAAAAGUGUCAUGUUUGCUGUUCUAAUAAAGGACUUUUACCAGAGAAGGGCAGAGCUUCCCGGAGCAUCUCUGCGCCGCCGCAGCCCCCCACAUCCACCUCGUCCCCCACCCCGGGGCACCGCACACCCUUGCAGCCCCCAAAACCCAACGGCACCGUGCCAAAUCCUAAAGGAUCCAAGCACCAGCCCUCCCCAAAUAUCCUUCCCCGAGCCUUUCCCUCUCCAAGCACACCCACGGGGGAGUUAUUUCGGAAAUGCUGGCACCCAGCCAGCCCCUGCCCUGGUGCCAAAUUUUGGCAAAGAUGGGUGGAAAAGACAGAAAAUAACCAAGAAAUAAAGUGAUUUCGGGAAAUUCAAGUGGGAGCCCAGCGCCCAGGGCACCACGGAUGCAGGAACCCAUAAUUUGGGGUGGGGGAGCCCCUGGGGGGCCGGGGGCAGCACCCAAAGGCGAGGGCAGAGCCCCCUGUGGGGCCCAGCACCCCCUGCACAGCCCCGCAGCCCUUCUCCAGGCACCCAAAUUCACCGUGCCCGAGCUCCCACCCAAUAAUCCUGUAAAAAAAAUAAAAUAAAAAAUAAAAUCAGGGUGGUUUCCCGUGCCGCACGCAGCAGCGGGUUUGGUUUUUCUCUCCUUUCUGCCCUGCCUGGGCAGGGAAAACGCCCGAGAAGCCUGCGCAGAGCUGGGGGGAGGAAGAGGAAGAGGAGUUGCGCUGCUCGCCCAGCGCUGGGCACUGGCUCUCCGGAAGAAACGCGGGCAGGAGCCGGUGGGGCACGGCAGGACACGGGGACAGGAGGUGCUGAGGGGGGCCUGGAGCUGAGUGAGGAAGGGGAGAAAGAAAAGGGGUUCAGGGGAAGGGGAGACAGGACAGGGGGUGCAGGGAAAGGGGGUGCAGAGGAAGGCGAGCAGGAAAAGGGGGUGCAAGGGAGGGGGAAUUGCGAAAGGGGCGCAGGGGAAGGGGGUUGGGGCAGCGCCCCAGCAGCGCGGCGCUUCCCCUUUGGGACCGGAGGCGGUGCUGCCCGCCCCAUUCCCCACCUCCCUUCCCCCAAAUCGGUUCCUCCCCCGGCCUGCCGGUGCCUCCCCCCUCCCCUCCCACCCCNNNNNNNNNNCCCGUGGCCGCGGCGCCCGCCCCACGCGUGGGCGGCCCCGGGGCGGUGCCGGCGGAGCGCGCUCGGUGCGCGCUGCCAGCCCCGUCCCUGUCUGUGUCUGUGUGUGUCUGUGUCCCCGCAGUGUCCCCCUGUGUGUCCCCCCGUGUCCCCUUGUGUCCCCCCGUGUCCCCCCGUGGUGUCCCCGUGUCCCCCCGGUGGUGUCCCCGCGGUCC
RNAcentral lists this long non-coding RNA (3553 nucleotides) under Anas zonorhyncha (Eastern spot-billed duck). RNAcentral describes it as "lncRNA (ENSAZOG00000016503.1)". The record is from RNAcentral. Lineage: Eukaryota; Metazoa; Chordata; Aves; Anseriformes; Anatidae.